Molecule: transfer RNA, 72 nt
Filed under: Ornithorhynchus anatinus (platypus)
Lineage: Eukaryota; Metazoa; Chordata; Mammalia; Monotremata; Ornithorhynchidae
Rfam family: tRNA
About the family: Transfer RNA (tRNA) molecules are approximately 80 nucleotides in length.
Source: Rfam by way of RNAcentral
AGCAGUGUGGCUUAGGGGCAAGAGCACGGGCUUGAGAGCCAGAGGACAUGGGUUCUAAUCCCAGCUCCGCCA